RNAcentral lists this ribosomal RNA (297 nucleotides) under Mantidactylus melanopleura. RNAcentral's name for it is "partial 16S ribosomal RNA". It matches the Rfam family "Bacterial large subunit ribosomal RNA", at positions 2033 to 2494 of the family's 2925-position model. Lineage: Eukaryota; Metazoa; Chordata; Amphibia; Anura; Mantellidae. The record is from RNAcentral.
UCAGUGAAAUUAAUCUCCCCGUGAAGAAGCGGGGAUACCCAUAUAAGACGAGAAGACCCCAUGGAGCUUCAAACCCAACUACACCCCUAGCUCUUAUAGCCCCACAACCCCCCUAGGCACCGUGUGCUUGGUUUUAGGUUGGGGCGACCGCGGAGUACAAUAAAACCUCCACAAUGAAUGGGAACACCCCCUUAUCUGAGGGCCACACCCCCUAAGAAUUAGAACACUAACAUAAAAUGAUCCAUUACUUGAUCAAUGAACCAAGUUACCCUGGGGAUAACAGCGCAAUCCAUUUCA